GCUCAAGAGCUGCAGCCAUCGGUACCUGGCCGGCUGCACGGCAACCCCCUCCGCUGAGCGGGGUGCCCCAGGGGAAGAGCCGGCCCGGCGCGAUCGCGUUGGGCAAGUCAGCGGG
RNAcentral lists this non-coding RNA (115 nucleotides) under Agrococcus pavilionensis RW1. RNAcentral describes it as "SAM (S-adenosyl methionine) riboswitch aptamer". It matches the Rfam family "SAM (S-adenosyl methionine) riboswitch aptamer". Rfam says of the family: SAM-IV is a mRNA element that regulates gene expression via direct sensing of S-adenosylmethionine (SAM or AdoMet). Lineage: Bacteria; Bacillati; Actinomycetota; Actinomycetes; Micrococcales; Microbacteriaceae. RNAcentral also lists the same sequence under 1 other name. The record is from Rfam by way of RNAcentral.